GUCUUUUUGAUUUUAUUUAAAGUCUGGCCUUGCCCACUGAAUUUAAUUUGAAGGGCCGCGGUAUUUUGACCGUGCAAAGGUAGCAUAAUCAUUAGUCUUUUAAUUGAAGGCUGGAAUGAAUGGUUUAACGAGGUAUUAACUGUCUCAUACUAAAUUUAUAGAAUUUAACUUUUGAGUUAAAAGGCUUAAAUUUUGUUAUAGGACGAGAAGACCCUAUAGAGCUUGAAGUUUAGAUUUAAUUUUCUUUUGGUUGUUUUAUGUAAUUUAUAAAGUAUAAAUUUUUAGUUGGGGUGACGUAAAGAUUAAUAUAACUCUUUUUUUUAUUUAAACAUUAAUUUAUGGUUUAUUGAUCCAUCAAUGAUGAUUAAAAGAUAAAGUUACCUUAGGGAUAACAGCGUAAUGUUUUUUGAGAGUUCUUAUCGACAAAAAAGAUUGCGACCUCGAUGUUGGAUUAAGGUAUAUAAUUGGGUGUAGAAGUC
This 479-nucleotide ribosomal RNA is filed under the name Cyphoderris monstrosa. RNAcentral describes it as "partial 16S ribosomal RNA". It matches the Rfam family "Archaeal large subunit ribosomal RNA", at positions 1953 to 2632 of the family's 2987-position model. The record is from RNAcentral. Lineage: Eukaryota; Metazoa; Arthropoda; Insecta; Orthoptera; Prophalangopsidae.